UCCCUGAUGAUCCAGUGGCUAAGACUUGCACUCCCAAUGCAAGGUGCCAGGUUCAAUUCCUGGUCAGGAAG
This 71-nucleotide transfer RNA is filed under the name Capra hircus (goat). It matches the Rfam family "tRNA". Rfam says of the family: Transfer RNA (tRNA) molecules are approximately 80 nucleotides in length. Their secondary structure includes four short double-helical elements and three loops (D, anti-codon, and T loops). Further hydrogen bonds mediate the characteristic L-shaped molecular structure. tRNAs have two regions of fundamental functional importance: the anti-codon, which is responsible for specific mRNA codon recognition, and the 3' end, to which the tRNAs corresponding amino acid is attached (by aminoacyl-tRNA synthetases). tRNAs cope with the degeneracy of the genetic code in two manners: having more than one tRNA (with a specific anti-codon) for a particular amino acid; and 'wobble' base-pairing, i.e. permitting non-standard base-pairing at the 3rd anti-codon position. Lineage: Eukaryota; Metazoa; Chordata; Mammalia; Artiodactyla; Bovidae. The record is from Rfam by way of RNAcentral. RNAcentral also lists the same sequence under 1 other name.